CUGUAUACAAAUAUGAAAAAUGUGAUAUCACAAAAAAAUUAAAAAAUUCAAAUAAAGUUCAAAAAAAAUUCAAACAAAGGCUUUGAAGUUAUUGUGUUUCCAAAAAAGAAUUGAAGGAGACAUAUUCAUUGAGGCCUUUCGGUUGCACUGUAUCCAAUGUCCUAAUCCAGUAGGUUUCUCGUUGCAGAAGGAUUCUAGAUCGAUCACCUCCUCUAGAUAGUGGGGGGAUGUUGUCAAUGCCGAUUAAUUUUAAGGUCGGGAGACGAUGAUGUGCCUCUAAAAAAAAUUUUUGGCUAUCAUAUUAUUGGUCCUGCCAUCCCUGUAGGCAGUCAUGAUUCCUGAACGAUAACCACGCAUCG
This is a non-coding RNA of Pelobates cultripes (western spadefoot toad), 359 nucleotides long. Lineage: Eukaryota; Metazoa; Chordata; Amphibia; Anura; Pelobatidae. The record is from the annotation of a GenBank genome assembly.